GACGAACGCUGGCGGCGUGCUUAACACAUGCAAGUCGAACGGAAAGGCCCUGCUUGCAGGGUCCUCGAGUGGCGAACGGGUGAGUAACACGUGGGUGAUCUGCCCUGCACUUCGGGAUAAGCCUGGGAAACUGGGUCUAAUACCGGAUAGGAGCCAUUUUUAGUGUGAUGGUUGGAAAGUUUUUUCGGUGUAGGAUGAGCUCGCGGCCUAUCAGCUUGUUGGUGGGGUAAUGGCCUACCAAGGCGGCGACGGGUAGCCGGCCUGAGAGGGUGGACGGCCACAUUGGGACUGAGAUACGGCCCAGACUCCGACGGGAGGCAGCAGUGGGGAAUAUUGCACAAUGGGCGCAAGCCUGAUGCAGCGACGCCGCGUGGGGGAUGACGGCCUUCGGGUUGUAAACUCCUUUCGCUAGGGACGAAGCUUUUUGUGACGGUACCUAGAGAAGAAGCACCGGCUAACUACGUG
RNAcentral lists this ribosomal RNA (465 nucleotides) under uncultured bacterium. RNAcentral describes it as "partial 16S ribosomal RNA". It matches the Rfam family "Bacterial small subunit ribosomal RNA", at positions 28 to 507 of the family's 1533-position model. The record is from RNAcentral.